RNAcentral lists this ribosomal RNA (340 nucleotides) under uncultured eukaryote. RNAcentral's name for it is "partial 18S ribosomal RNA". It matches the Rfam family "Eukaryotic small subunit ribosomal RNA", at positions 1470 to 1796 of the family's 1831-position model. The record is from RNAcentral.
CCCUUAGAUGUUCGGGGCCGCACGCGCGCUACACUGAAGGACUCAGCGUGUCUCUCCCCCUAUCCCGAAAGGGAUGGGCAACCCGUUGAACCUCCUUCGUGCUAGGGAUUGGGGUUUGCAAUUAUCCCCCAUGAACGAGGAAUUCCCAGUAAGCGCGAGUCAUCAGCUCGCGUUGAUUACGUCCCUGCCCUUUGUACACACCGCCCGUCGCUACUACCGAUUGGAUGGUUUAGUGAGACCCUCGGAUCGGUCCCGACUCGGGGUGGGCUUCUGCCCCGGUCGUGGUUUCGCCGAGAAGACGGUCAGACUUGACUAUCUAGAGGAAGUAAAAGUCGUAACA